RNAcentral lists this ribosomal RNA (237 nucleotides) under uncultured bacterium. RNAcentral's name for it is "partial 16S ribosomal RNA". It matches the Rfam family "Bacterial small subunit ribosomal RNA", at positions 118 to 354 of the family's 1533-position model. The record is from RNAcentral.
UGAGCAAUCUGCCCUUCUCUUUGGAAUAAGCGUUGGAAACGACGUCUAAUGCCGAAUACGACCUCCUUUCGCAUGAUCGGAGGUGGAAAGCUCCGGCGGAGAAGGAUGAGCUCGCGGCCUAUCAGCUAGUUGGUGUGGGUAAUGGCCCACCAAGGCGACGACGGGUAGCCGGCCUGAGAGGGUGACCGGCCACACUGGGACUGAGAUACGGCCCAGACUCCUACGGGGGGCAGCAGG